RNAcentral lists this ribosomal RNA (255 nucleotides) under uncultured bacterium. RNAcentral describes it as "partial 16S ribosomal RNA". It matches the Rfam family "Bacterial small subunit ribosomal RNA", at positions 524 to 776 of the family's 1533-position model. The record is from RNAcentral.
UACGUAGGGCGCAAGCGUUUGUCCGGAAUUAUUGGGCGUAAAGAGCUCGUAGGCGGUUUGUCACGGUCGGAUGUGAAAGCCCGGGGCUUAACCCCGGGUCUGCAUUCGAUACGGGCAGACUGGAGUGUGGUAGGGGAGAUCGGAAUUCCUGGUGUAGCGGUGAAAUGCGCAGAUAUCAGGAGGAACACCGGUGGCGAAGGCGGUUCUCUGGGCCUUACCUGACGCUGAGGAGCGAAAGCGUGGGGAGCGAACAGG